This 21-nucleotide unclassified non-coding RNA is filed under the name synthetic construct. The record is from RNAcentral.
CUGCAGCAUCAUCAGGAUUCC